AGGGCACCACCAGGAGUGGAGCCUGCUGCUUAAUUUGACUCAACACGGGAAAACUCACCCGGCCCGGACACUGGAAGGAUUGACAGAUUGAGAGCUCUUUCUUGAUUCAGUGGGUGGUGGUGCAUGGCCGUUCUUAGUUGGUGGAGUGAUUUGUCUGGUUAAUUCCGAUAACGAACGAGACCCUAGCCUAUUAAAUAGAUCGUUGGCUUACAAACGCCGGCGAGACUUCUUAGAGGGACAGGCGGCGAUUCAGCCGCACGAAACAGAGCAAUAACAGGUCUGUGAUGCCCUUAGAUGUCCGGGGCCGCACGCGCGCUACACUGAAGUGAUCAGCGUGCAUUUUGAAACCUACUCUGUCAAGAGUGGGGAACCCAAUGAACCUUCUUCGUGAUUGGGAUAGGGGAUUGUAAUUAUUCCCCUUGAACGAGGAAUUCCCAGUAAGCGCGAAUCAUAAGUUUGCGCUGAUUACGUCCCUGCCCUUUGUACACACCGCCCGUCGCUACUACCGAUUGAAUGUUU
RNAcentral lists this ribosomal RNA (519 nucleotides) under uncultured eukaryote. RNAcentral describes it as "SSU rRNA". It matches the Rfam family "Eukaryotic small subunit ribosomal RNA", at positions 1161 to 1698 of the family's 1831-position model. The record is from RNAcentral.